Molecule: long non-coding RNA, 2022 nt
Organism: Canis lupus familiaris (dog)
Lineage: Eukaryota; Metazoa; Chordata; Mammalia; Carnivora; Canidae
Exons: 5
Source: RefSeq, a predicted model, not a curated record
UACAAUAAUAUAGUUUUCUGGACUAGGAUACAGGGAAGGAAGCAUCUAUGAAAGUUGGCUUUAAAAAGUCAGAAACGGUUAUCUGUGAAACUGUUUCAGUUCCAAGUACUGUUGAGCCUGGCUGCCUGACCCAUACUCAACCUCAGUGAGACUCUGAGGUUUGAGACAUGGUACUUCAUCUUGUGUUCAACCAUGGAAGGUUUACCUGGAAAGAUCAGUUCACUCGCUAAAAAAAGUUAUCAGGUAACUGAACAUGAGCAAUUUUUGCAUUAACCGGAAACAAUGCUUUUCUUUCAAAGCCACAUGGGGAGACCAAGUUAAGUCACAGUGGAAGACAAAAGCCCGAAGCAACAGGAUGAAUGAAGCAGAAAGAGUUGCUGAGUAGAGAGGAGCCUGCCAUUACAUCUUCUCUGCCUCUUCAUUCCCAGAAUAAACACCCCUCUCUUGCUCAGGUGUAUGCACAGGCUCUCCUCCACGCAUCACACCUCCCACCCUCCGCUACAUCAGAUUCUGCUACUACGGAAUCCAUUUCUCCUAAGAUCAAAAGGACCAGUUAUUGAUCAACUCUCUGCUUCCUUAACAGAGUGAUCCGGUACCAAUUUAUAAAACUCAAGGCAACCCCUCUUUGGUUUAGUGGCAAGACUACCACAGACCAUCCUCUUUGGAGGUCACUACAGGUAAAGAGAAGAUCGAAAAGAACAGGGAAUAAGAGUAACAUCAGCCCCCCACAAGAACAUGAGCAUCCAGAAGAUAAUGGAGUGCCUUCAAAUUCUAAGCCACCCGUGUUUGGUGAUCCCACCCUUCUGAGAGCCGAGGGAGGCAGCAUCCUAGGAGAGAAGGAAAGCUACAAUCAAGCUCCCAUUACUACGAAUCCUGCUGUGAGUUUGGUCAAGGUGAAAAUCAUUCAGUUGGUGCCAGCUUGCCCCAUCCUAUCCCUUCCCUGGAGUCACCAUCUGCCACAAGUCACUUUAGAGUCUGUUUGGCAGUAAAAGAGAAGGAGAAGCCUAAUUCCUGAAAACUCUAGCCCAUUUAAAGGCAAAGCUAGCUCCAGUCCAAAUUUUUAAGUGUUUAAUGAGCCACAGAGAGUACAUACCAUACUUGACCACUCAGGUUGUAAGGUCUCGCCUGGUUUCAUGAAAAAAUGUUUUCAAAUCAUAACUCCCCUAUACUUGGAAGACAAAAGCAAAUUCCUGGAAAAGUUCCCAGAGGCUCAGUUCAGGGGAAGGUGAACGAAAAAAGGAAGGACAUGGGAGGCAAUAGAGAAAGGAGAGAUGAGAGAAGAGGAUGGGGCAAUAGCAUGGAAGGAAAGACAGGCAAGAAGGCAGAGAGGUAAUGGAGAGGAGGGGAGUCGGAGAGGCACAGGAACAUAGCUAGAGAAACCAACACACUCGUGUCUGCAGGUCCUGUCUCCAACUGUGGGCUCUGGAGCAAGUGAGGCAAGUGAGGCCACUGGCUGCUGCUGCAAAUACAUUAGGCACACACUCAUACAUCUGACAGACUGACAGAUGACAUGUGUACACACACAGUCUGGCCAAUCUGCCACACCCUGACCCAGGGCCCUCCAUGCCCUCUUGUGAGGCUCCCCUGUGGUCUCCUCGCCCCUCUAAGGCAGUGUCCAAUGGACACUUGAGUACAUAUGGUAGGAAGAGAGGGCCACAUGGUGUCACAUUACCUGGGCUCACACUUUGUUAGACUAGUCUCUAAUAGUGAUCUUUCUUUUUCUAAUCAAGUAGACCAUUGCAGAAAGACCCAUCUUAUGUGUUGUUUUAGAUCAUCUCUAUAUUAGUAUUGGUGGUUUUAUUGUUCUUAUUGCUGGCAAUAAUAGAAAUAACUUGCCUGUCUAGGAUUUUAGAGUGUGUUGUGCGCCCUUACAUGCAUUAUUUCAAAUGGUUCUCCUCUUACUACCAAUCAGCACCAAGUUUUUCUUAGUAUCUUUUCAUUUUGAAUGACCACUUACUCUUCCCAGAAUUAUUUUAAAAGUGGUUUCUAGGGCAGCUGGGUGGCUCAGCAGUUUAGCGCCAC